UGUUUAAUGCAUUAAGCCUCAGCCCUGGAAAAGAAUAGCAUGUGGAUUUAAAAAAAAACCAGUCACUGUUUAUUUACACACUUGCUCGCGAGCGUUCACCGUCUUUGUUGAGGCGGCGGGUGUAAUGGAAGGACAAAACCGCAGCAGACUUGAGAAAAAGUUUGACAGGGUGUCUGUAUUUCAAGUGCACUCUCCCCUCGUGAAUCCCCAGCUGACGUGCAAUUAUAGAAUCAAAAUGUCAGUCGCAUUACAUUUGGAUUAGCCUUGUUGCCUCAACAAUUAACCAACUGUGGUGAAAAUAUAUUAUUAGCAUAACUAAAUGUCCCCUUUCGUCAUCCACAGUCAAAGUUCCAAACACAGUCUUGAAUUUUGGCUCAGCUCAUAGCAUGCUAAUGGCGCUAUUAAUUACUUUUCUGAGAAAAUCUCAAGCGUUUGCGGAGCAAUAGAUUAAUUGUGAUCGUGACCUGAAGAGCUGUCACCUUCGAUGUCAGGUAAAAGCACAAGGCAGCAUAUCGAGUCUUUUAUAUUAAACCUGAUGUUCUAUAAAUAGCAGUGCAUGUGUUCAUUCAUGCUGAAUGUAGUAAUUACAAGGAAUGGUAAAGCUAACACUGCUGGCAUCUACAUUUGACUCAUUGUAAUGAAGACAUGGUGGGUUCAAUUUGCCUGUUUUAGUCUACCUAAACCAACCUUUGUGAAAAUAAGAACAAGCAAAUGAAAAUAAACACAACAUUUGAGAUUUCCCCUGCAAACACUUUAUAUCAUUUUCUUAAUUAAUUGUGCUUUUCAACUCAUUUUACACACGAGAAACUUGGGACUGGCAUCAAAGUAACAGAUUAAAGCAAAACAAAAGAUUUCAGACUGGAAUCUGCUUCCAAACCACACGCAACUUCCAACAAACAGCUCUUCAGACAUUUUUGUACUUUGGCUCAAACAGUUUCAAAGACAUCAGCUUUGUACGCUGCAGUCGGAACAAAAAAAGCUUUCUGUGGCUUUGAUUUCAAAAUGUCACGGUACUCCAGUAUUGACAGUCUCACACAUCUGAAAACAAGCUUUUAGUCUGCAAACAAACGUCGGGAUGGUCGACACUAAAAUGGCAGCUGAAAGCGAUCAUUAUCUAGAAGUGAUUAAGCUACCCCGCCUCUCAGUAGCAUGUCAACGGCUGAGCAAUUACGUUGUCAAUUGGUGAGAGCUGUUUAUGAGACACAAUAUCAUCUGGUAGCAUCAGAACUACAACUUGACAUCAAGGCUGAGCUAAAAAAAAAAACAAAACACUGAAUUCUUUCUCACAAUUUGGAAUGACCGUGGCAGUAAAUGAAGCCAUCAACUUAACGGUGAGUCACUGGCUUCAAUGGUUUCAGCAUCUGUACACGGUCUCUGUAAGUCAAGUCAGACGUGUGGCAGAAAGCCUUGAGCCAUCUCUACAUGGCAUCUCAGAACUGCCACAGUGCCAGACCUCCACAUCGGCCUGAAAUAAUGUGAGAAGGAAUGCACUUGAACCGACGUUAGACGCACCUUUAGUAUCUGACUCUGCCUCUAUUUGUACCAUGUAGUGCAGGCAAGGCUAAUACCACAUGUGCAUGUAGAGCACACAAAUCCAUCAUUAUGCACCUGAAAGCGCUGGCUACACAGAGAAAAAGAAACACACUCAAAUCUGUUCAAGGCUAAAGGGUCUUAACAUCCAUCCCAGUAUAACAGCAAAGAAACCAAGGUUUCUGCUGAGGCUCCCCUCUGAAUGUUGCAAUUAUCUAAUCAGUAUUAGGCACAAAUUAAAUACAUGCAGCACUUCGGAGAUGAAGGCCAGCGGUGGAUGAAGGGAAGGGAAUUAGGAUGUAAAAUGAGUUGUGUUUGCUUAUGUAAAUGCAGACCACUAGAGUAUGCU
Long non-coding RNA from Oreochromis niloticus (Nile tilapia), 1879 nucleotides. RefSeq lists it as uncharacterized. Lineage: Eukaryota; Metazoa; Chordata; Actinopteri; Cichliformes; Cichlidae. The record is from RefSeq and is a predicted model, not a curated record. The transcript is spliced from 2 exons.